Molecule: long non-coding RNA, 25246 nt
Organism: Homo sapiens (human)
Lineage: Eukaryota; Metazoa; Chordata; Mammalia; Primates; Hominidae
Exons: 4
Source: RefSeq, a predicted model, not a curated record
CUCGUUCUUCUCUUGUCUGCCACCAUGAAAAACAUGCCGUUUGCCUUCCUCCAUGAUUCUGAGGCCACCCCAGUCACAUGGCACUGUGAGUCCAUUAAACCUCUUUUUCUUUAUAAAUUACCAAGUCUCAAGUAUGUUUUUAUCAGCAGCAUGAGAAUAGACUAAUUUAGUAAAUUGGUACCAGUAGAAUGGGGUGCCGCUGUAAAGAUUCCCAAAAAUGUGGAAGUGACUUGGAAGUGGGUAACAGGAAGAGGUUGGAACAGUUUGGAGACAGGAACAGACGAAGAUGGAACAGAUGGAACAGAUGAAGACAGGAAAAUGUAGGAAAGUUUGGAACUUCCUAGAGACUUGUUGAAUGGUUUUGACCAAAAUGCUGAUAAUGAUAUGGACAAUGAAAUCCAGGCUGAGGUAGUCUCAGAUGGAGAUGAGGAACUUGUUGGAAAGUGGAGUAAAGAUGAUCCUUGCUAUGUUUUAGAAAAGAGACUGGUGGCAUUUUGCCCCUGCCCUAGAGAUAUGUGGAAUUUUGAACUUGAGAGAGAUGAUUUAGGGUAUCUUUGGAGGAAAUUUCUAAACAGCAAAGUAUUCGAGAGGUGACCUGAGAGGUGCUGUUAAAAGCAUUCAGUUUUGAAAGGGAAACAGAGCAUAAAAGUUUGGAAAAUUUGUAGCCUGAUAAUGCAAUAGAAAACAGAAACCCAUUUUCGGAGGAGAAAUUCAAGCAGGUGCAGAAAUUUGCAUAAGUAACAAGUCAAAUAUUAAUCUCUGAAUCAAUGGAGAAAAUGUCUCCAGGGUGUGUCAGAGACCUUGGCAGCAGCCACUCUUAUCAUAGGCCCAGAGGCAUAGGAAGGAAAAAUGGUUUCUUGGGCCAGGUCCAGGGUCCCCCUGCUCAGUGCAGCCUAGGGACUUGGUGCCCUGUGUCCCAGCCACUCUAGCCAUGACUAAAAGGGGCCAAGGUACAGCUCGGGCUGUUGCACCAGAGGGUUCAAGCCCCAAGCUUUGGAAGCUUACACAUGGUUUUGAGUCUGUGGGUACACAGAAGUCAAGAAUUGAGGUUUGGGAACCACUGCCUGGAUUCCAAAAGAUGUAUGUAAAUUCAUGGGUGUUGAGGCAGAAGUUUGCUCUAGGGUUGGGGCCCUCAUGGAGAACCUCUGCUAGGGCAGUGAGGAAGGGAAAUGUGUGGUUGGAGCCCCACACAGAGUCCCCACUGGAGCAUUGCCUAGUGGAGCUGUGAGAAUAGGGCCACUGUCCUCCAGACUCCAGAGCUGUAGAUCCACUGACAGCUUGCACUUUGUGCCUAGAAAGCUGCAGACACUCAAUGCCAGCCCAUUAAAGCAGCUUGGAGGGAGACUGUACCCUGCAAAGCCACAGGGGCAGAGCUGCCCAAGACCAUGGGAACUCACCUCUUGCAUUAGCAUGUCCUGGAUGUGAGACAUGAAGUCAAAGGAGAUCAUUUUGGAGCUUUAAGAUUUGGCUGCUCCACUCAAUUUCAGACUUGCACGGGGCCUGUAGCCCCUUUGUUUUGGCCAAUUUCUCCUAUUUGGACUGGGUGUAUUUACCCAAUGCCUGUACCCCCAUUGUAUCCAGCAAGUAACUAACUUGCUUUUGAUUUUACAGGCUUAUAGGUGGAAGAAACUUGCCUUGUCUCAGAUGAGACUUUGGACUGUGGACUUUUGAGUUAAUGCUGAAAUGAGUUAAGACUUUGGGGGACUCUUGGAAAGGCAUGAUUGAUUUUGAAAUGUGAGGACAUGAGAUUUGGGAGGGGCCAGGGGUAGAAUGAUAUGGUUUGGCUGUGUCUCCAUCAAAAUCUCAUCUUGUAUUGUAGCUCCCAUAAUUCCCAUGUGUUGUGGGAGGAACCCAGUGGGAGAUAAUUUAAUCAUUGGGGCAGUUUUUCCCAUACUGUUUUUAUGGUAGUGACUAAGUCUCAUGAGAGCUGAUGGUUUUAUAAGGGAAACCCCUUUUCACUUGGCUCUCAUUAUUUUCUUGUCUGAGGCCUCCCCAGCCACAUGGAACUGUGAGUCCAUUAAACCUGAUUUUCUUCAUAAAUUCCCAUCUUGGAUAUGUCUUUAUCAGCAACAUGAGAACAGAUGAAUAAAAAUUCUCAGACUGGGAGAAAAAUAUGCUAAAGUGCUUCAUUCCCAGAAUAAUAUUCUUGUUAUUUUGUCAUAUGGGCAGCCUACCUGCUUACCUCCUGUCCACACAUCCUAAUAUGAUGCCAACCAGUUAGUAUGUCCUCACUUACUUGCUGACAUGGAUUCUUUGCUUGGCCAAAUUUUAGUCACGUCUUCUGAACAUUCUUCUAGGCCCAUCUGUGCACUUCCUUGUAAAAUACUGUUUUAACUAAGUCAGUUUAGCAACAAUCCCCAAUCUCAGUGUCUGAUCACCCUUGGUAGCUGAUCAUAUUACUUAUCCUCCCUUAUCCCCCAGGUGAUUUCUGAUCUUUCUGGUCUGUUUUUAGCAAGAUCCUGUUAGGUUGGUUUAGCCAGAAUUCCCCUUACCCCUGAUGUUUCUGCUUAGUAAUUUUCCAUCCUCUGACUACCUCAUCUGCUUCUUGGCUACAGAUUCUCACUUGCCCCUGCUGUAUUCGGAGUUGAGUUCAAUCUCCCUAGCCUAUUGUUAAGACUUAGUUGUAGUCAUUCCUGUAGCUACUGCAAUGAUCCUAAAUGAAGUCUUUUUUACUGUGCUUUAACAAGUAUCAUUGAAUAUUUUUUUUCUUUAACAUUACACAAAAAGGAAAACAGCCUGUUCAUUUCAUGGAAGGACGUUUUGGAAAAAUAGAUCCAGACCUACAUAGAAAGGUAUGACAGCUACCUUAAUUCAUCCAUCAAGACCUUUCUUCUUAAUUGUGAAUUACCAACUAUAGAUCAUCAGAGAAUUUAAGAAAAUCGACAAACUAAAUGCAAAGAAACAAGCUAAUGAAAUAGAACAAAUGACUAAAGGAAACAGAAGUAAUUCAAUGAACAUAAGAAAACUUAAAAAAUAUUCUAAUUACAUUCUCAGAAAGAUUUGAGUGCACACUACAUACAUUAGAAGAGAAAAAUAAAGGAAAAUCAGACUGCUAUGAAAACCAAGUAAGUAUUUUUGGAACUCAAACAUAUUUUCUGAAAAUGUAAGAAAGAAAUAACUAGAAAAUCUACAUACCAAACUAAUGCUGUAUUCUGAAAAACAAAGUUGAUAAACACACAAAGCAUAGAACAAAAACUGGAAAAUAUGAGUUAUUGAACUGAUGAAUUAUUGAACAUCAUCUCAGGGACUUUGAUAUCUCUCUAGCAGUUUUAGAAAAAGAGUAUGAGGAAAAGUUAAGAUGUAGAAAUUAUUUAAUAUUAAACAUUUUGUUUUAAUAAAAAAAGGCAGUGCGAGUCUUCAGACUGAAAGAACGAACUCACUGGUGAUAUGUCAGAACUCAAAUGAUAAUAAAUAAGUUGAAAAAGUUUCAGAGGGGAAAAAUGGGCUACUGGAGGGUGCUAAAUACUCAUGUAACAACAGGAACUAAGGAAAGGCAGAGGUCCCUGAUUUUGAUGCCUUGAGGAAUUGCUUCUGUGAGCAAAGAUGGAUUUAUAAGCAAAGUAUUGCGACAAAUGAGGUAAGUAUUCACAUCCUACUAGGGUUCUGGAGAAGAAAGAACUGCUGAUCCUUAAGGGCUCAGGAGAAACUUCACAAAGCAGGUGUCAUUUGACCUAUGUCUUGAAGCGCAAAUAUGAGUUUACCUUAAAUGUCAGGAAAUCAGAAACAAAUACAACAAUGUGUUCAUUUUAGCUGACUGGGAAUCUUCUCUUCUUUUGCUUCUUAUUCAAGUUUUAUUUUCAAUUUUAUUCCUGUUACUUUAUUUAUACUGUGUUUUUUUUCUACUGUGACUUUAAACCUCUUGUAGUAAACAAACCACGUAGCUUCAAUAAAUAAACAUUUAGUUUCUUCAUCAAAUGUAAAAAUCAGGUAUAGGUUUUAUAUGUUUUAGGGAACUGAAUAAAAAUAAUUACAUGUGAUUCUUAAUUUUUUAUGAGCUACUUAGAUAGGAUGAUACUAUUAGUGGAAGAAUAUGAUCAACCUAGACUCUUUGACAAGGAAUGAAAUCUUCUAUAGAUUAAACAUUCAAAUUACAAGGCUUUUUAUUUAUGCCCAAACAGAAAAGAUAAAUAAGGAAGGAACAUUUUGUGUGAGGAGGGUUAAAGGAGACUGCAGUGUAGGUGUGAUAAUUUUGGUAGCCUAAUUUGUCAUUUAAAUAUUUAUGAAUAAAGAGAAAACAGGAUGAUGAAAUCUGAAAACAAAACAGUAUGCUUUUUCAUUUUCAAGGACCAUGGAUUUCCAUAAAUUAUUUUCAGAUAAGGAUGUUUUAAAUUGAUGACACAAAGCAGUGGCAAAUCUAUUAGUGAGUCAGUAAAUUGAUGAGCAAGCUUAUUGAGUACACCUUGUAUGUAGAACUCCUCAUUGGCUAUUUUAAGAAAAGCUUUGUCAAUAUCAAUGCUGAUGACUACCCUUGGGAAUAAACUGGUAACAUUUAGAGUUUCCAAAAUGAAGCCAAGCCUGCUUCAAAAUUUUCCUGUUACAUGUUUUUUUUCAAAUUCUUAUUAUCACAAUAUUUGGAAAUUAGGGCUUAUGUUUUAAUAAUGCAAUUUACCUUUGAGUAAAAAAAGAAUUCAUUUUUUAAUACUACUUGUUUACAUAUACAUAAAAUUUGAAAUAAAAUAGAAUACUGAGGGUCCUUUGCACCCAGUUAAAUUGAAUUGGACUUCUUAAAAAAUUGUCUUUCAUGAUCUUUCACUUUAAUAAUGUGGAACUGGCUUAUUGACCAUUCAAAAAAGAAGGAAAACACUAAUGUUUGGAAGCAGAGAUGCUGUGCAGCUUCAACCCUUAGCCUAGGGUUGAAUCUUUUCUGAAUCUUUCCUAGGAAUCUUUUCUGAAACCUAGCAACAUUAGUCUGACCAUAAGGAAACCUUGAAAUAAAUUCCAGAGCCUGCUUUCUGUCUUUGGUAAAAGGCUGCCAGGCUUGUUUGAGAUGGCAAUGAAAGAUUUACAUAAGGCAUCUGAUUCUGAGAAAAGGGAUUACUUGUAGGUACAAGUGAAGGAUUUCUAAAUUUCAAACAGAAAACUCAAUCUCUUCUGUUCAGAGCAUUCAGGAAAUCUGAACCCCUACAAAAAGCCUUACUCCAUCAAUGGAAUGUGAUGUUAUGAUUUCCUUCGCCUAUACACACUAUGCUUGUGGUUUUCCCUUUUGUACAAUGAAGCUGCAGACCUCGAUGGACUUAAAACCUCUUUCAGGUUGUUAAAAGACAAAGUUAUAACAUAUUUGAAAGUGAAACUCUCAACUGGCUUUUAUUUGUGAUUCUAAAAUUGGGCAGCACCUCAUCUUACAAGGUAGAAUGAGUGUUCCAAUGAACUGAGCUAAACAGGUUAGUUUUGUAGACAAGGAGCUGAGGAAAGCAGAAACAGAGAACAAAAAUCAGAUUGGUUGUUUAAAGUUAAUUUCCUUGUAAGUGUUAGAGAGCACUUCCUUAUCAUGUUGGCUAAGACUGGCUUGUUUGGGAAUUUGGCUAUUAUCUCUCACUCUCCUGAUUUCUCGGCAGGUCAGAUAACUUACUUUUGGCUUAGUGACAUGGAACUUUAUAGCAUGAGUGACUCCAUUUUGUUUUGGUCUGUUGGGUCUAGUGCAGGAGUUCAGUCCAAACCAAUAGUCUCCUAUAUAUUUUAUUUAAUAAGCUCUAAUGGUCUGAAGAUUUUGCAGUUCAUUUUUUAAUUUUCACCCACAUAACCCAUAUUUACUAAUUUAAAAAAAUGGAUAUACAUUAUUUAUCAGUAUUUGUACAGCUGUCUAAAUGACUUUAUGUUGAUGUGUGUUGCUACUGUCAAGUUCAUAUUAGAACUUCUGGGGAAGCAAGGACCAUAUCUUAUUUGUUUGGUACCAGAACCUAAUCCAUUGAAAUAUGUUGUAGAAAAAAAAAAUGAAAAAUGUGUGUGUGUGUGUGUGUGUGUGUGUGUGUAUAGAUUGAUGGUAUGAUUUUCAAGUUAUUGACACAAAAUGAGUGUGAAUGUGAUUGUGGGAGAGUGGCUUGAAGAAAACAGAAAUGAGACUGGGGAGAGAAGGGACACAUUUUAAACCAAAAUUUCCAUUUCCUUAAACUUUAUAGUGUCUUGAUGUGUGACCCAAAGAUGCCAAAGUGAAGGAAGCAGAGCAUAAGUCUCCUACCUACUAACAUAUUUUAGAUUUAUGUAAUUUGCUAUUUUUCCAAAGAGGCCGAAAAUUUCCAAGUGUAGAGCCAUUAAUCAGUGACUAAAGAGACAGAUGGUCUAAAGAGAAGAAGUACUGCUAUACAGUUUUUAUCUGAGUUCUGUUAACUGUCUCCUAGAAAAACAAUUAUACAGGGCACAGAGAAUACCUGAAAUUGAGAACAUGGCUCUUCAAAGUCCAUGAAACAGCAGAAUGUAGAAUUCUUUCAGUACACAAAUUAUUUGGAGGAGUUUAUGAUUGUAGUACUUGAAUUAGAUGAAAAAGCCCUUGAGUUAGCACUGUAUUUAGAGGUGGGUACAAUGUCUGUUGGGCUAGAGUCUGGUCUAGUUACUUUCACGGUUGUAUGAUUCCUGCUCCCCUCCAACUUUGCUAUGCCAUCGCUCACCAUGAUGUUUACUACAUACUAUAUAAUUACAUUAAUGAGAUCUUUGAGGUAUUCAUUAUCUAAUUUGAAGGCGAACUGGAAUGUUAUCAUUGGGGUGGCUAUCAUCCGUUGUUUCAAAUAUUACUUUAGGGGAUAUGUCAUCUUUGUCUUCUGUCAUCCUUAUCUGACUGGUCCCCUCCCCAGUCUGAAACAAUUGCAAGUCACUUGGUAAUUACGUGUCAUUGUAGCAUCUUCUAUUUGCAUCCAUCUCAAUGAGAUUAUGUCUUUUCUGUCCUUCUGUAAGCUUCUUGAUCGUACACCCUCAUGUGUUUAUUUAGUACAUAUAAUCUGCCCUGGUUCCAAGACAUUCCUACAGAAGAUAUGUAGUACUUAGUGCAUACAUGAGAGUCUAAGUGAAUAGAUAAAUUCUACCUGCUAUCUCUAAAAUUAUCUAAUUUGAAAUAACAUUUUCACUGGGAUACCCUUAGAAAUUAGACCCUGGGAUGCUUUAUGUCUUGCUUUUCUUCUCACACUGUUUUGUUCACUCAAAUUGUUAUCAAAAUAACUGGAAAAUUUACUCACAGAAACAAACUAAUUAUUCCUACUUACCUGGACCCUAUCAUUAGGAGAAAAUGUGGUUACAACUAAAAAAUAGCAACAAUCUAUUCAAGAUGCAAACAUAUUCCACCAUCCUACUACAUCACAAAGUCCAACUUGGAGUCUCACAAUUGUGCAUUCCCAAACUCACUCACAAUUCCCUGGGUGCCAAGAGGUCUCUGCUCGCACAUCCUGGUUACAAGCCUUGAUGUUAUCUUAUGCCUCUUUCCUUCUAUCCCCCUAGGUUCUCCUGUGUGUCCCUCCACUGUGCUUCCCUCUGUGCUAAAUGACUGGUUUCCCCCAUGAAAUGAGUUCUUUCCUAGGACAUUGUGAAUCCAUAGGACACUGAGGAUGCUCAAUCAUUUAUAGAAAAGGCUUUCAGUCCUAUUCUCAUUACUCCAGUAAUUCUAUACUCUCUAAGAACACUAUCUGUCAUGAAAAUGCCCACCUUCUAUUGUCCUGAAGGCCCGGUAUUUUUUAUUCUUUGCUCUGUCACCAUAGGGCAGGACUUUUGUCAUCUGCUAGAUAGCAUAUCAACUACUAGGAAACUUUUGUAAAAGAACAACGAUGACAACAACAACAACAACAACAACAACAGCAAUACCUGUUAUCCUUCUGAAUACUUUAUUCAAACAGCAGGUAAUGAAGUCUUCCAAAAAAAAAUAAAUAAAAGCCCAAAGAAUUAUCAGCAAUCAUCACAUGCACAUUGACUGUAUGUUCUAGAUUUUCUGACUCGGUUUAUAUUUUAAGUAUUUUAUUCUACUGUCCCACUAGAUAUCUCAUAUUUAGGAUAAUUAUUAAUUUAUUCCAUGAAUAUGAUAACCAGAUGAUCAUGAGUGAUACCAAUUUUGAACCUUAUUAGGAAGGGAGAUAAAACUUAAAUAGCCAGAUGUUUUUAGAAAAAAAAUUGUUUUGAAUAGGAAUAUUCUCCAGAUUUGUUUUCAAGGGCAGAAAGAAAGUGGGACAGUCAUCAUCAUUACUAAAUAAUAUAUGAUUGCCAGAUUUUUCAAAACUAGCCAAAUAUUGAUUGGAAAAAAAUUUUUGAAAGGCAAAAUUAUACUAUUCUCAAAUGUUUUAUAAGAUAUUCCUGAGCUAAAUUUUAAUGCUAAGAGCAGAUAGUUGCAUUUAAUGUUUAGAACAGAUAUCCUCUGGAAUGUACAAUGGUGUUUUUGAGAAAUGUUAUUUUAGUUUUAGGAGAAGAGAUUUUAGUAUUUUCACAUUCAUUCUCCUAGUCAAAUCAAUUAGUUUUGGCCGAAACUACUUUUUGAGCAUCCAUCGAGUGCAGAGUACAGUAAGGUCCUUAUGCAAUUAUAGUUCUUGAGCCAUGAAUAAGAAAUAGGUUGAUUAUAAUAGGUUGUCUAAACUCUGUUCUAGUUGUUGCAACUGGGUGGUUUCAGUGGGCUUCAUUUUUAAUAGGCAGCUGCUUCCUGGGAUUGGUAUGGCCUUGGUUUCAUACUCUGCUACCUAUUAAUAAAAGGUGGGCUUUUGGAGAUAGAUUUAGAGGAAAUAACUGAGACAGUUUAUUUUGUAGUCUAUCUAUUGCUUUUACAAUCUUUUACCACCAUUACUCCAACAUUUGAAGUGAAAAAACAGGAAAGAGCAAAUAGCUUAUUAAAAACAAUAGUGAUAAACUUAACAAUUUCUGUUUAGAUCUUGAUAUAUCUUAUUUGGCUAGACUUCUCUACAAAGUCUUCUGCUUCCUGGGAACUUGCUGAUACCAAGUCCUGGGAAUGGGAAAGGAGGGGACAUGUAGACACAUUUGAACUAUGGGUGUCCCAGUGAGUCACUUUACUGAAAGGUUGUCCUCUUGGGUGACUCUGAGUUUCUUUUAAAUACUCUUCUGUCCCAUUUCUUGGGUUUGACCAAGUGGGUCUAAUCAAUUUGAUCUUUUCCCACUAAAGUAGUCCUGAUGGCCCUCACAUCUUGGAAAAUUUCCCCUUAUGAGUCAACCAAAGGGACAGAAAAAAAUGGCUUUUAAUAUUUCUAAGAUUUGAAUUGAAACCCUUUAUAUCCCAAUGUACUAGAUGUGCAGUGUGCAAGUAAUUUCCCCGAGCACCAAAUUCUGAGUACAAACCUGUGGAGAUAAUUAUAGUAUCAUCAGCUCUACAGGGCAGAUACAAGGUUUACCUACCAUCUGGGAGAACGUUUAUGAAACAUUAGCAGAAAUUUGACAAAAUUUAAUCUCUUUACUUUUCUCUAAGAUCAUAUGAAGUAAUAUUUAUUGAGCACAUCCAAGUGCUCAGAGCUUUACAUAUAGUAUCUUAUUUAAAAUAGUCAUCUCAAUAUUUUGAUGAGGAAGAUGUCUUCCCAAUUUUAAGGAUAAGAAAAAUCAGCGGAUUUAUAGAGAGAUUAUGAAGCUAUAUAUAUAAUCAGGAAGAUUCCAGACUCAUGUUUGAAUUUGGAUGUAGCUCACUCAGAAGUCUCUUCACUAUAUGAGAAGGUUACAUUGCAAAAAGUCAUAGGUAUUAAGUAAAGAGUAGUGUCUAAGUUCUUAAUUUCUGAGGAAAUUUCGCUCCUUCCCAAGCAACAAAAGGGAGAUAAUUAGACGGAUUUUUAAUAUAAAAUGCUUGACAAUGUUUAGUAUUUUUCAUUAGAAGUCAACUUCUUAGCAAAUAUGCUUUAUCUUUAUUUUUGAACUCAUUUUAGAGCAUUUAUUAAUGCUGUUUAUUAACAUAUAUUUGAAUAUGAUAGUAUAGUUGGCAUUUGAUUUUUUAUGUUAAAUAUAGAGACUGCUGAUACAGUUGGUUCAAGAAUCAAUUAAUUGUGGCCUUAUUUAGUAUUUAUACUGAUGUUUGUUUACUGAAAUAGGAAUUUACAAAAAAUAUAAAAAGUAAUGCCAAACUUCUAAAUUGUUUUCCAUUGGAUAGAAAAAGCUUAAUUACUUAUUUAUUCUUUUCUGCUUUGCUGUCUUUCAGGUUUCCCACUUCAUGCUAAAAAGUGGUAACAUUGCAUGUCAGACUGAAGAAAGACACCUGAGUCUAUGUUGAGUUGUGUUUGGCCCCUUGCAAGGUUGUCAUAAAUGAUUCAUUGUUUUGGCUUAAGGGGCUUUCAGCUGGAUGACAAAGCAUAAGGACAAAAAAUAUGAAAUUUGUCAUUAAAUGUCUUCAUCAUUUAGCCUGUUUAAUUGUGCUAAGAUCUUUUAAGAAACAAUGAAUACAGAGAUUUCCAGAUUAUACUUCCAUGAAAGCCUAAAUCUUCUCAGGUAUUCACAGUUUAAAAAAAUUGAAGUAUACCAAAUGAUAUCCAAGUUUACUGUGAAAGCAAAUGGCCCAUAAAAUUUUGCAUUUACAUUUGAAUUUUAAUCUAGAGAGAAGGAGACCACAUAAGUAAAACACAAUCUAUCUCAUAGGCUGAAGCGUCAGGUAUUACAAAUGUAUGUGGUUAGCUUCUCUUUAUUUAGUUCUCAUUGAUUUAGGUACUAAUUCUACCCAUUCUUUGCUUUAAUCAUUUAGUAUUAAGAAAUAUUGACUUUCAUCAGAGCUUAAUAUACAACUGGCUCCAAAUCUAGAAAAUCAAUUUAAAUUCUUUAUAGUAGUAUGUAAUUGGUUAAUUCAGUCAUUUUUAAAACAAUAUAUUUGUUUAAAAAUAUUUAUUUUGCUAACCAGCUACCAGACAUUGUUCUAGGUAAUUCUUACAGAAGUGCGUAAGACAGAUAGUGUGGCUUCCCACAUAGGGCAUAUAGAUUACAAAGAGAAGACAUAGCUAAAGAAUUAAACCAAUAAUAAAAACAUCAAAUUCUCUGAAAAAAAGAGCUGCUGCCAGUAUCAGUGAAUACUUCUUUCAUGUAACACAAACUGACACUUAAAGAAAAAAAAAAAAACACUCAGCCAUGCAAAGAUGUAAGUAAAGAGAAUUCUGGGUGGAAAGAAUAGGAUAAGUGAAAUAUUUCAAGCAUGGAAGAUCUAGGAAUCUUUCAGGAACUGAAAGGAGGCCAGUAUGAUUGGAAUAGAGAAAAUAGGUAGGCCAGGAGGUCAGAUGAUGUAGGCAUUGAAGGACAAGAUAGGAGUUUGCAUGCUGGUCAACAAUUUUAAAUCAGAGGGAGGGAGAGGGAGAGGAAAAGGGAGAGAGGCAGAGAGUGAGAGAGAGGUAGAGAGAAAGAGAGAGAGGGAGUGAGAAAGAGAGAUCAAAUUUACUUAUUUUGCCAAUAGAACUGUUGUGUGAAAAAUGAACUGAAAGGAAGUAAGGGGAGAAAAACAGCAAAGAGCACAUUUAGGAAGUGAAGAUAAUGAGAGUCCACUCAAUGAUAAAGGUUUGGACUUGGACAGUUUAGUAGAGAAGUACACAAGAACGGUUGUGAAAUAUAUCUUAGAAGUAUAAUUUGUGGAGUUUUGCUGAUUGAUUAAAUAUGAGGCAUGAGAAGAAGGAGAGAAAGGAAUGAAAUAUGUCUACCAGGAAUAUGGGUUGAACCAUUGAGUAGAUGGUGGUGCAGGUGCAAUUUACUGAAGAUCUGGGAUGAACAGGUUUUGGAGUGAAGAUCCAAGUCCACUUUUUUAUGUAUUAAAUUUAAGAUACAUUUUAGACAUUAGGAGACAUUUGUGGCCACUAUGACAUAUAAGGCUUUAGCUUAUUUGAGAGGUUCAGACUGGAAAUAUCUAUUUGAGUAGUUAGUAUUUUAUGUGCAAGCCAUAUAAUUGAAUGAUAUUACAUAGAGAAAAAGUGUAGAGUGAGAAAAGGAGAGGAUCAAAGACUAAGCACUAUAGAAUGCCUACAUUUUUAUUGUAAUUAUUAUUAUUAUUAUUCUUAUUCUGAGACAGAGUUUCACUCCUGUCGCCCAGGCUGGAGUGCAAUGGCACGAUCUCUGCUCACUGCAACCUUUGCCUCCCGGGUUCAAGCGAUUCUCUGCCUCAGCCUCCCAAGUAGCUUGGAUUACAGGCACGUGACACCACGCCUGGCUAAUUUUUUUGUAUUUUUAGUAGAAACGGGGUUUCACCAUGUUAGCCAGGCUAGUCUCGAACUCUUGACCUCAGGUGAUCCACCCACGUCGGCAUCCCAGAGUGCUGGGAUUACAGGCGUGAGCCACUGUGCUUGGCCUAUUUAUUUUUUAAAUUGACAAAAUUCUAUACAUUUAUUGUGUAUGAUGUUGUGUUUUAAAAUAUUUUAUGCAUUGUGGAAUGGCUAAAACAAGCUAAUUAAUAUAUGCAUUACUUCAUACCCUUACAAUUUUUUGUGUGUGAUGAAAACAUUAAAGUCUACUCUUAGCAAUUUUCGAAUAUACAAUACAUUGUUAUUAACUACAGAAACCAUGAUGUUCAAUAGAUCUAUUGAACUUAUUCCUCUGUCUCACUGAAAUUUUGUAUCUUUUGACCAACAUCUUCCCAAUUACCACUCACCGACAGUCCUUGGUAAGAAACAUUCUACUCUGUUUCUAUGAGUUUGACUUACUUAGAUUCCACAUAUAAAUGAGAUCAUAUGGCAUUUGUUUCUCUGAGCCUGGCUUAUUUUGCUUAACAUAGUAUCCUUCAGGUUCAUUCAUGUUGUCUCCAAUGCCAGGAUUUCCUUUAUCUUAAGGCAGAAUAGUAUUCCACUGUUACGCCACAUCUUCCAUUUAUCCACUACUGGACACCUUGGUUGAUUUUAUAUUUUGGCUAUUGUGAAUAGUGCUGCAGUGAACAUGGGAGUGUAGAUAUUUCUUUGACAUGUUGACUUCAUUUCCUUUGGAUAUAUACCCAGUAGUGAGAUUGCUGGAUAAUACGGUAGUUCUAUUUUUAAUUUUUUGUGGGACCUCCAUUGUGUUUUCCAUAAUAGCUGUACUAAUUUACAUUCCCAUCCACACUGUACAAGGAUUCGCUUUUCUUGCAUUCUCAUCAACACUUGUUAUCUUUCAUUUUUCUGAGACUAGACAUUCUAACAAGUGGAAGGUAAUAUCUCAUUAUGGCUUUAAUUUGAAUUUUUCUGAUAAUUGGUGAAGUUGAGUAUUUUUUUCAUAUGCUUGUUGGCCAUUUGUAUGUCAUCUUUGGAGAAAUGUAUUCAGAUCCUUUGCCCAUUAUUUUUUAAUUGGGUUAUUUUUUUCUAUUGAGUUGUUUCAUUCCUUAUGUGUUUUGAAUAUUAAUCCCUUAGCAGAUGUAUGGUUUGCAAUUUUUUUUCAUUCUAUAGGUUUUCUCUUCAUUCUGUCAAAUAUUUCUUUGCUGGGCAGAAGCUUUUUAGUUUGAUGUAAUCUCACUUCUCUAUUUUUGCUAUUGUUGCCUGUGAUUUGGGAGCUACAUCCAAAAAAUCACCACUGAGACUGAUGAUACAAAGCUUUCCCUCUGUUUUCUUCUAGUCUUUUUACAGUUUCAAGUCUUAGGUUUUAGUGAACUACAUUUUAAGUCCAAGUCAAAGAUCUGAAACUGGAAAAGGAGAGUUAUGAGUGGACAAAGAGAUAAACCCGUUUAAAGAAGUACAGAAUAGCUCAUGAUAUUAAAUGAUGUUCGUUGCUUUAUUUUUAAAAAUUGUGCCUGUUGGACAUGGAAACAAGAAGUAUUUGGUGAUCCCAGUCAGUGCAGUUCAAUUUCAUUGAACUAAUUGGAACAGCAGCAAGGUCAUGGUGGGAGAGUGAAUGUGAAGUAAGAAAGUGGAGACAAAGAAAUUGUAUGAAGAAUUGUUUCUAUGAAUGGGAACACAGUUGGAGAGGUUUGGAGGGACAAGUAAUAAUAUUGAUUUUAAAUAUGGGAGGUAUAAGAGAUUCCUUUUUAAAAAGUUCUUGAUAAAAUGAGAGACAUAGAUGAGUCAUUUCUGGAAUCUUUGACUAAGGCAAUAACAACUUAUUCAUUUUAUUUUAUCUUUUAUUCUGAAUGAUGAUGAUGAUGAUUUUUUUAAAGUAAAUACUAUCUUCCUGUAUCUCUAAAAAAAAUGACAGCAUGUACUUUUCAUAGAAUGGGACCUGAAUGAGGGUUUAUUGAAGAGUGAAUAAAUGUACACAUUAGUAUAAAUACAGAUGUUCUUAUAUGUCAGGUAUAUAUUAGAAAAAGACAAUUUUGUUCUUUACUGCUCAAACUCAACACAGAACAUUUCUGUGACCCCAGAUGUGUAUGUUUGUGUGUUUUUUUCCCCACAUUGACCAAUUCUCCAACACUAGCCUGUUGGGCUAUAAUUAAAUUCAGUCCUGGCAUGAUCUACCUAGAGCGAGAGUCAAAUUCCACAGAUGAAGGCCUCAGUCCUACAAGACUGUACCCUACUUCAGAUUUAAUCAUAAGUCCAAGUCUCCAUCUCCAAUACAUCUGAUCAAUUGGCUACAUAUUGGGCUUCCCAUAACCCUCUCCUCAGCUUCCAUCAUUUGAUCUAAUGGCUUAUGGAAAUCAAGGAAAUGCUUUGCUUACUACUGCCUAUUUAUUUCAAUGGAUAUGUUAAAGGAUACCAAUGAGCAGCUAGAUGAAGAGGUACAGACAGUGAGGUUUGGAAGGGUCCCAAGUGCAGGAACUUCUGUCCCCAUGGAGAUGGAAUGUGCCAUGCUACUGGGACGUAGAUGUGUUCAGCAACCCAGAAGCUCUCCAAACACUGUCCUUUGAGGAUUUUAUAGAGGAUUCAUUAUGUACAUAUAAUUAAUUACAUAAUUGGCCAUUGGUUAUUAGCUUUACCUUCAGCCCCUCUUUCCUCCCUGGAUGUUGGGGGCUGGGGCUCAAAAUUUCAAUUCUUUAAUCACAGGCUGGUUCCCCUGGCAACCAGCCCCCAUCCUGGAUAAUAUCCAGGAUGCCCCCAUAUCCAGGAACCCACAGCCAUGCUAGUAAUCUCACUAGGACACAAAAAUACACUUAUAACUUUAGAGAUUUCAAGGGUUUUAAAAGCUAUGCACCAAGAAAUGACUGCAAAGACCGUAAAUAUAUUUAUUAUUGUGUCAUAUCAGGUUACUUUAAGCUUGUCCAUUCUGUUUUUUCAUCUUCUCAAAAUAUGUGCCAGAACAUUGUUUGUUUAUAUGCCAUUAAUAUUGAUACUUAAAAAUAAAUAAGUUGGUUUGCUAAAACCAAAACACGUUUCUGAAGAGUUUUGACUUAUCUCUCAAAAAAAAAAUAGGAAGAAUAAUGAUUCAGUUAGCAAUUUAAAAACAUUCAUUAAUCCCUUUCUAGAUAUAAAGCAUUAUGAUAAACCAUGUAAGAGAUUUCAAAUAACUUAUUUGUGGCCAAUAAUUGGGAAAUGUAUGGUAUUUAAUAGUAUGUAUUUCUUUCAUUUCUCCCAAUCAGAACUUCUAAUAAUCUUACUUUUUAAAAUUUUAUCAUAUUUUAUUAUUUAUUUUAAUAUUAUUUUAAUCAUCAUACUCUAACUCCACAAGCAAUGUUAAAUUCUUUAUGGAUUUAUGAUUAAUGUUGUAUGCAAAGGUGAAUGAAUGAAUGAGUCAGUGUAUAAAUAAAGAGUUCAUACAUAAAUAAAGACACAUAUCUCAUCCCAAUGUAUAGUUUUAAUUUGGGGACAGGGAGUUGAAUUUUGGGGUAGAGAUAUAGAUAACUAAAAAUUGUCUAUAAAAAGUAUUUAAGAAGUUUGUAAUUUUACUGAAUUUCUGGAGUGAGAAUAUCAUGUUUUAUGGCAGAGGAAGUAGCAUUUUGAGAGUUUGAGAUAGCCCUAAUUGUUUUAUAGAAUUAAAACAUGUAUAUAACCAAAGCAGUGAUGUAAUCCAUGGUGGAGAAAUUGUAACAUGGAAAAAUCCACAUAUCAGAAAACAUCUCACAUAAUUUUAUAAAAUUAUUAAAAUUUUAUCAAGUGGAGGAAGAGCUGUCAAGUAAAAGACAUUUUCAGUCGUACAGAAUAUUAUGUCUAAUUUGCAUUUCUCUGAUGGCCAGUGAUGAUGAGCAUUUUUUGAUGUGUUUUUUGGCUGCAUAAAUGUCUUCUUUUGAGAAGUGUCUGUUCGUGUCCUUCGCCCACUUGUUGAUGGGGUUGUUUGUUUUUUUCUUGUAAAUUUGUUUGAGUUCAUUGUAGAUUCUGGAUAUUAGCCCUUUGUCAGAUGAGUAGGUUGCGAAAAUUUUCCCCAUUUUGUAGGUUGCCUGUUCACUCUGAUGGUAGUUUUUUUUGCUGUGCAGAAGCUCUUUAGUUUAAUUAGAACCACAAUGAGAUACCAUCUCAUACCAGUUAGAAGGGCAAUCAUUAAAAAGUCAGGAAACAACAGGUGCAGGAGAGGAUGUGGAGAAAUAGGAACAGUUUUACACUGUUGGUGGAACUGUAAACUAGUUCAACCAUUGUGGAAGUCAGUGUGGCAAUUCCUCAGGGAUCUAGAACUAGAAAUACCAUUUGACCCAGCCAUCCCAUUACUGGGUAUAUUCCCAAAGGAUUAUAAAUCAUGCUGCUAUAAAGACACAUGCACACAUAUGUUUAUUGUGGCACUAUUCACAAUAGCAAAGACUUGGAACCAACCCAAAUGUCCAACAACGAUAGACUGGAUUAAGAAAAUGUGGCACAUAUACACCAUGGAAUACUAUGCAGACAUAAACAAUGAUGAGUUCAUGUCCUUUGUAGGGACAUGGAUGAAAAUGGAAACCAUCAUUCUCAGCAAACUAUUUCCAAGGACAAAAAACCAAACACCGCAUGUUCUCACUCAUAGGUGGGAAUUGAACAAUGAGAACACAUGGACCCAGGAAGGGGAACAUCACACUCUGGGGACUGUUGUGGGGUUGGGGGAGGGGGGAGGGAUAGCAUUAGGAGAUAUACCUAAUGCUAAAUGACGAGUUAAUGGGUGCAGCACACCAACAUGGCACAUGUAUACAUAUGUAACAAACCUGCACAUUGUGCACAUGUACCCUAAAACUUAAAGUAUAAUAAUAAUAAAAUUAAAAAAAAGAAUAUUGUGUUGAAAACAAAAAGGGCAAGGAAAGCAAUGUGUUGGGAAGAGUGGGUAGGCUGACAAGUGAAUAGCACUGCAGUUGCUCAGUACUGGAAAUAUAGAUUUGAUUUUUAGAAUGAAAGACCUUGAAUGCCCUACCACAGAAUUUUAAAAUAUUUCCAUAGGGCAUCCUGUACUUGGUUUUAUGUUCUAGGAAGCCUAAUAUGAUGAUGGUUGGUAACAGCUUAGGAGGAAUGGAUGUGGAGUUAGGAAACUAGUUAGGCUUCCUAUUGCAAAGAUCCAGAUGUGAGCCAUUAGCUCAACUGUGGAAAUAAAAAGAAAGGGAAUAUUGAGUGACAUGCUACAGAAUAAAAUAUUUUCAGGACCUGGCAAGCAAGUGAGUGAGAGGGAAGAAGAAAGAUUACUUCAAAGCUUUGAACUUGUGUGACUGGAAGAGUGGUGAGAUGAAGCUAGGACAGUCAGAAGAACUCAUUGCAGUGUCAGCAUAAGAAGGAUCAUUCCAAACUUCUGGAGUUUCCAGUGUUGGCUGAAAAUCAGGUGUCAGGGACUGGUAGGCAGUUGACAACAUAGUGAGAGGGGCGGGACUAGAGAUCAUUAAUUUGGGGCACCUUGGUAUAAAGGUGGUAGAUGAAGACUUAAAAGGGUUGGCAUUAUGAGGAAAUCACACAUCUGGAGAGAGUAAGAAUUUAAAAAGGAAUAAAUAAAAAUCAAUGUUUAUUUGCAUUUCCUCCCUUUUCUUUAUAGUCCUGAAAAUUGACAUCAUAUGAGAGACUGAUUCUUUAACAGGGGGAAUUGAUAAUAUGAAUGGGUGGAGUCUAUGAAAAAGACCAGAGAUUUUGGCAAGUAUAUGCUAGUAUUAAGAGUAUUGAUUGCAAAUGUGGAUCCUGGAAACAAAUUUAGGGUAGAAGACAGCAGUGAUUUCAGAAGGAAUUUGUUAUAAAUAAUAUAAUGUGGGUAACUUUUUGAAUGUGGUAAAUUGUAGUUGAGGCUACGAGAUGUAUUUAGGUAUAAAAUUACUUAUGUAUUAAUAAAUAAUAAGGGAAUUUAGGUUUCUUUAAAGAAAAUGAACGAAUAGGUUCUAAAAAUGGGAUUUGCGAGGGGCUGAACAGCUGGAAAGCAGAUGGGGUUAGGGUGGAGUGAAUAGAAAAGUCAUUAUUAAAGAGAAAUGUUUAAUCUUCCAUGUCUUCUGUUUGAUUUGGUGGCUUUAUAGUGGAAUUUGAGGCAUCAUUUGGCAGCUGAAUGGACUUGGGUUUUGCAGUAAAAUUUAUAGGUGGUAUAACGUGGUUUUGUAGAGAAUGAUAGAGUGUGUCUGUUAUAAACUCUUCAUAAGAAUUUCUGUUACCAAAUUUUGCAAAUAUAGUAAAUGUUAUAAGGAUAUCAAAGUAUUUAAAUUGUGGUAUUCCCUCAGGGUUUUUUUAUUUCUGAAUUUAUAUGUGUGUAUGUAUUUUUAAUAUAUUUUAUUUUUUAGAGUAGUUCUAGCUUACAGCCAAAAUGUCAGAAAGUAAAAGACCCUAGUCCCUACACCCUUAGUUCCCACACAUACAAACCUCCCUCACUAUCAACAUCCCAUACAUGAGUGGUAGUUUUUUGGUGAACCUCGAGGUCUUUUAAAUGUAACAUUGCAGACAGCCUGUCCCCGUAUAUCCUGUAUAAAGUAAUGCCUGUAUCAGCUGCUCUUUGGCCUCUAUCCUCUUCAUUUCCUUCAAAGCACUUAUUCACUUACCAAAUAUUAUAAUACAUCUUGGUAAUUUGUUCAUUUUUCUGCCUACUGCCCUAGAUCUUAGGAUCACUAAGGUAGGUACCCGGAGCUUCUUGUUUACUGUGGUGUGCAUCUCCAGUUGUACCUGACACAAAGUAGAUUCCAAUAAAUAUUUGUUGACUGAUAGACUGGCUGACUGAUGGAAUAAGAAAUGGUGAGUUUCCUAUUAAACUACAUGCGCUUGAGAAGAAAAUUAGUUUCUUACUCAGCCUCAUUUAACUCCCCAUCUCUCCUUCCUUUCUGCUUCCUCAUUCACUUACUUGCUCUCUCUCUCUCUCUGUGUGUGUGUUUGUGUGUGUGUGUGUGUGUCUAAGAUACAGCAUUACCAGCAUUUAGUAUAGUGUCUGACACGUAAUUGGCACUCCAGAAGUAUUUACUGAAUUAGUGAACACAUUAACUCAUCCGCCCAUCAAACAUUAUGUUUGUAUCUUCUUUGUAUUAGACAUUCUUUUAGGCUCUAAAUAUGUAAAUAAUAUUGACACUCAAAUAAAUAAUUACAGACUAAAAGGUGAGAUGACUGUUCCGUUAAGAGGGGUGCACCAGAGGCUUUAAGAGGAGAGAAGAGGGGCACUUAAUCACAGAGUGGAGGGGCAAGAGAAAAUAAAUGAGAGUGAGUGCUACCUUGAGCUGAAAAUUUCAGAAGAAUCACAUGCCUCAUAAGUGCUCCCAAAUAUGUAUUCAGUUGAAUUAAACAUGUAUCUUUAGCAAUAGGGUAAAUCAAGAUGGCGAUUUUCAAAUGUGGGUUCUGUAGGCUAAAGCAUAUAUAGCAGAAUAUACUGGAAGCUUUAUAAAAAUAAUAAUCUCCUUCCCCUUUUAACACCUGAGAUUCUGUUUUACAAGGCAUUUAUUUUGGUAAAACACUGAUGUGGUCGCCUCCCUCACCCUGGUAAGGGAACCCUACCCUAACAGAAUGGAUUUUGCCAUCUAAGAUGGUGACUUUAUAUCCUAAAAGGAUCCUCUGGCCUAAGUUAAGCCAUAAGUGCAUACCAUUACUUUUAUUUUGCUUUCAGGAGAUGUUUUUCAUUUUCAUUUUUUAUUCUUUAUUUAAUAGGUUUCAUAUACAUCUUAGAAUUUAAAGUGUUACUUUAAAUAUGCUUCAGUUUACUUUUUUAUGUUCUAUGAUUAACUAUUCCUUUACUUAAAAUAAAAUUGACAUAAGGCAUUUUUCAAAGACAAGCUAGCAAACGAUUAUUGAGAGAAAUGGCAGUACAUACGAGUAAGAUAUGAAACUUAGAGUUUCCUUUUGGAAUGGUGCAUGAGGGAAGUCUAAAUGAGCUAUGUGUAUAUUUGCUUACAUACAUAUGCACAUGUCUAAGGUCCAUCAGCAACUAGCUAACAGAUGUCUGUGUUAAAAGCUCUUCAGUUUGAAGUUAUGUAUAAUAAACUGACGGGUUCUAUUUUAAUUCAAGGCUCUUGGCAAAUGUUUAUUGAAACUUACAAUGUGAUACUGUACUUGUGUUUAUUCUUUUCUCCUAAGAUUCAUUUUUGUUGUUAUUGUUCAAUGACAUGUUGUUGUUCGAAGAGUCCCUAAUUGGUGGCAGUUGAAUAUAUUGUUGAUUAUUAGCAAUGACUAAUUCUGUCCAAGUUUUAAUAUUCAAGCUAAAAGUGUCAGAAGAACAUAUUUAAUUUUCACUUUGAAAAAGAACAGGGUCCCCAGUUUUCCUAAUGACUGGAAGAGAAGGAAGUCUCCUUAAAAUUUUAGCAUGCAAUUUCUAGGCAUAAGAUUUUAUAUGGUACUUAUAGAAAUAGUUUAUUCCUGCUGAUUUUAGGAUAAUUAUUUUCUUUGCUUAAGCUAAAUUGUUCUAGAUAAAAUGAAAAUGCUGAAUUUUCAAAUGUAAAGUUCAUUUGAAACGUGUAAAUCCAACAGUAUAUAUAACUAAUUGUGAUAGACAUGUAAGUUUUAUUUGUUUUUUAAUAUCUGGCCCCCAUCAGAUGUCUGUAUGUUAAACCCCCCUUCUCAGUUGGUGGUGAAUGAUAUCUGGAUUAGAUUAUAUAAUGUUAUCUAUUUUUAAAAAUUAAAGCCUUAUUUCAGUCCUAAAAUUCCAAAGUUGUACUUGAUUUUAAUAGCUUUCUUAUAAUUGUUCCCAACCCCACUCCAUUCUCCUUUUCCUUCUCUAUAAGUCCCAUCCAUCUUCUUCCACCCUUCUAGUCCUGUGUUCUUAGUGGACUACAGUGAAUGUGUGUGUGUUUGUGUGUGUGUGUGUGUAGGAGUGGGGGUAGAAGUGGGGGUAUGGUUAAGAUUGGAGUCAGGGUGAUGUGAGUCAGGUAUGAACGUUUUGGUCUCACUAUAAAACUCCUCCUCUAUUUCUAGAUUAUCUGCUGUGCUAGGUAGAGCCAAGAGAUCACCAAAGUUACUUUUCAUAUUAAUCUAGUAAAUACUUUUAUAUAAAACUCUAAAUCUGGAAAUUAUUUCUUUAAACUUUUAAAGCUAUAGAAAUCAAACUUCAAAAUAUACCUCUUUUCGUUUUUCUUUUGACUUUUCUUCUUCCUUUCACAUUCUUUAUAUUCUUCACUUCAAUGCUUGAGCAUGGUGUUUAUGCCACAAAAAGAGUCAUCUUGUUUUAUGAACUAUUUAAUUUUGUGUUCUCCUCAAUUCUGUCUUUAAUUGAAAAUAGUCUUUUGAGAAAAAACGUUUGUUUCCCCCUGGAACAGUAUAACUAUUGUGCAAAGUUUACAGUAUUAUGCAAGAAGCUAUAAAAAUUAUUAGUAACAGCAUGUCAGAUUUUAGGUAUCACUAUAAGGGUAACAUUUUGUUAGAAAAAGCUUUCAAAAGUGUGUUUGAUCCAGAGUGUCAAAGCAUAUGUGUUUGGGGAGACAUUUAAAAAGUGAGAUGCCUAUUUCUGAAAGCAUAUUAUUAGAAGCGUCUGCUGAAAGCGUGAUGCAAACUUACCCUGGCCAGGAAAUUGUUGUCAGGCUGACAUGCCACUUCUAACUUACGUCACCAUUGGAUUCCAAUCAUAUUGGUUUGGCACAAACUAAGCGACCUUCUUUAACAUAUUCACGUCAUUCUUAUUUUCUAGGUCAUUGUGUUCCUAGUCAUGUGCAAAUACAUUUUUUAUUAAUUAUAUAAUUUGCUUUAAUAGCAAUUUUGAUGCACAGAUGAAUUUAUGAAUAUUAUGAAAUCUUUUCCAGAACAGUCAGAGAGUUGAGUUAGCCAAAUUCCCUUGGCCAAUUAAUGCCUGGAUGUGGCUGUUAUCUCACCAGAGCAGAACUUCUGGGACUUAGGUAUAAACAUCUUCAACCAUAAUAAACUCGAUGCUAUUUAGGAACACACCAGAAACAAAUCUCUGCACUGGUGGGGAUUCUACUCUAAAAGGAUAAGUACUAUAUAUUGAUGUAAAGAGAGAUUACAGUUAGUACUAAUUAAGCAAAAAAUUUUGUUGAUGGGUUGUAGGGGAUAUUGAGUAAUGAAUUAAUUUUAAAAAGAAAUAGGGGGAUAAUGACAGCGCUGGAUGAAGAAAUUGUAUAGGAUUAAGAAUUUUUUUAUUAAAGUAAGACACAUAGGUGGGGAAGAAGUCAGGAGGGCCUAACAAACCAAGAACCUAUGAUGAAAUAGAGGUGGGAAGGGCAGAACUGGGAAGUUGUGCUGGAUACAAAAUGGAAUUUGUGGUGAGAAAUGAUGGACAGAAUGGAAACCAGUGGGAUAAUAGCAAGGAGGAAAGCUUAGAAGAUAAGGAGCGGUCAGAAGAGACCCAUGAAACACAACUUGUGGAGUGGUUUUUUUUGUUUGUUUUUGUUUUUUUUUUAAAUCUGUGUAACACACUGAAGCCUUCUGUUUGUCCUUGAGUGACAUGAUCAAAUAGUGUUGGAGUAAGAUAAAUUUCACAUAGGGUUUUCAUGAAGGAAGAGAGAGAAGUUAGGAGCAGGGAGACUCAUUAUGUGAAUAUGUAUAAUUUUCCUAUUUAAUUAAUUAAUUUUAUGAUACAGAGUCUCACUCUGUCACCCAGGCUGGAGUGCAGUGGCCUGAUCUCAGCUCACUGCAACCUCCGCCUCCUGGGUUCAACGGAUUCUCCUGCCUCAGCCUCCUGAGUAGCUGGGACUACAGGAGCGUGCCACCAUACUCAGUUUAUUUUUUUGUAUUUUUAGUACAGAUGGGGUUUCACCAUGUUGGCCAGGCUGCUGUCGAACUCCUGACUUCACGUGAUCCACCUGCCCCUGCCUCCCAAAGUGCUGAAAUUACAGGAUUCAUCAUUUCGCAUUUCUGUAACCAUGAAUGAGGGUGUUUGUUUUCUUAGAACUGUCCAUGUGGAACAUCCUGUCAGCCUCAGCUUUUUAACAAUCAGGAAGAAAGUCACACAACCACAUAUUUUCUGAACAUAAGCUGAACUUCUACUUCCAUGGAGUGAGUUACUUCACCUCAUUGGCAAAAGACAACAGAAGAGUCCAAAGUCUGAGGGGACUGGGCAAGCUUCUGUCACAUGCUUUCAGAAUGAAGACAAUCUGCAAGAAUUUUAAGUUGUGACCUCUACAGAGAAAAGAAUGAAAAGUAGCCAAAUCUCCACAUGAGAGAUUUUGGACUAUUUUGCAGUGUAAACCCCAUCUGAUUUAUAUGAAGUAAGCAGACUUUCUCUCCAAGAGUUCAAAAUAAAUUAAUUCUAAUGCUAAAUAUGUUCUCAUGACAGUCUCAAAAACAAAACAGUAAAAAAAAGUAUUAAGGUUUACUCUACCUUUUCACUGUAUUAAACUCAUGUAUGAAGCAAAAGUUAGCUAAGAACAUAUUUAUUAUCAUUUUGAGUUUUCUAGGGGCUUCUACAAACAAAAACCAAAAGGCAAAACUCUGGUUAGUAAGUUAUAUAAAUCCCUUAACUCUUGGAACCCAUAAAAUAGAAAUGACAAAAUAUCUAGUUCAUACAAUUGUUUUGAUUAUUGAGAUAAAAUUUAUGAAAGUUCUUUGGAUCCUCUAAAGUUUUACACAGCUUCCAAAUAUUAUUGUUUGACAGAAUCCCAUUUGGAAUUAAUAAUGUCCUCAAUCUUGAUCUAUGAAUUUUAGUAAUUCUAAUUCUGCUUUGUAUCUUCAAGUUAAUUGUACAUUUUCUGAAGAUAGAAUUUUAAAGGGGAAGGAUCUUGUUACUCAUUACUUUCAUUGAAGCAUAAGUUUAGUAAAUGGGCUUUGGGUCUGUUAGACCUUACUUUUGAUCUUGGUUGAGUCUUAAAUCCACUGAGUCCUAGUUGUAUGACGAUAGAUACAUAACUCCUCUUCUCUGAGGUCUUCCACUUUUAAUUUGUAAAGUAGAAAUAAUUUUAGUGUCUACAAUAUAGGUUUGUUGUGGCUCAUGGAUGAAAUAAUGUAUGUUGAAGACUGGACAGUAGCUAGUAUGCUAACUCUCAAAGCCCCAUCUGUGCCAUUUCUCAUUUAUUCCCUCAAACAACAACAACAACAACAACAACAUCCCAGUGCCUUCCUUGAGGGCUGAAACUCUAUUCUAUUCCUAUUAUUAUUAAUUUCAGCAUUCUUGCCCCACUUACCUUUUGUGACACCUACCUGGAAAAAUCACAAUUCUAGAUAAACUCGAGUAUCUUCCUCUUGCCCAAAUCUAACCUUGAAAAGUACUACUAGAAUUACAUAAUGUCCCAGAUUGGCUCUUUAAAAUUCAUGGUCUCAGUCUCAAUGAGGUAACAGUAACAAGAGGCAAAAUUUCUAAUAUUCCCUGCUCAGCUUCCUCUCCCAUUCCCGCAGCAGCAGCUUCAAACUUUUCUUCAAACUCUCUCUUCCCUUACCUCAAUCCCCACACUGAGCACAAGAUUUCACAAGGAAUAGCGAAGCCAUCUGAUAGAUAUUUCUUCAGCUUCUCGUUUUUAUCCUGAAUCUAUGCUCUGCAUUUCUUCCUUUUCUCCUCCUGUUUUAGAGAGAUGACCCCUUUCUGUCUAAAGCCAAGCAUUUUUUUCUGAGUUUUAAAUCUCUAAAAUCGAUAAGCUUUUUUUAAAUUUUGAUUUUAAUUUAAUACUGACAAAUAUUUUAAAAUAAUUGUAUAUAUUUAUGGGAUACAACAUGAUGUUUUACUACACAUAAAAAUUGUGGAAUGAGCAAAUCAGUUCUAAUUAACAUAUUCAUCAUCUCACCUACUUAUCAUCACUUGGGGGUGAGAACAUUUAAAAUCCACCCUUUUAGCAAUUUGGAAAUAUACAAUACAUGAUUAUUAACUAUAUUUACCUAGCUGUGCUAAAGAUCACCAGAACUUAUUUCUCCUAACUGAAAUUUUGUACCCUUUUGCAAACAUUUCCCCUUUCCCUGCUCACACCACCCCACUUUCCCAGCCUCUGGUAAUCACCAUUCUACUCUCUACUUCUAUGAGUUUGGCUGUGUUAGAUUCCACAUACAUGAUAUUAUGUGAUAUUUGUCUUUCUGUGCCUGGUUCAUUUCACGCAGCAUUAUGUCCUCUAGACUCAUCUAUGUUGUUUGUAAUAAUAGAAUUGCAUUCAUUGUAAAGACGAAUAGUAUUUCAUUGUGUAUAUAUACCACAUUCAAGAAAUCCAUUUAUCUAUUGAUGGACACUUAGUUUAUUUCCAUAUCUUGGCUAUUGUGAAUAAUGCUGCAAUAAACAUCAGAGUGCAGAUAUCUUUUCAACA